CCUACGAGAGGCUGCAGUGGGGAAUAUUGGACAAUGGGGGGAACCCUGAUCCAGCCAUGCCGCGUGUGUGAAGAAGGCCCUCGGGUUGUAAAGCACUUUCAGUGAGGAAGAACGCCUGGUGGUUAAUACCCAUCAGGAAAGACAUCACUCACAGAAGAAGCACCGGCUAACUCCGUGCCAGCAGCCGCGGUAAUACGGAGGGUGCGAGCGUUAAUCGGAAUUACUGGGCGUAAAGCGCGCGUAGGUGGCUUGAUAAGCCGGUUGUGAAAGCCCCGGGCUCAACCUGGGAACGGCAUCCGGAACUGUCAAGCUAGAGUGCAGGAGAGGAAGGUAGAAUUCCCGGUGUAGCGGUGAAAUGCGUAGAGAUCGGGAGGAAUACCAGUGGCGAAGGCGGCCUUCUGGACUGACACUGACACUGAGGUGCGAAAGCGUGGGUAGCAAACAGGAUUAGAUACCCCGGUAGUC
Molecule: ribosomal RNA, 465 nt
Filed under: Vreelandella stevensii
Lineage: Bacteria; Pseudomonadati; Pseudomonadota; Gammaproteobacteria; Oceanospirillales; Halomonadaceae
Description: partial 16S ribosomal RNA
Rfam family: Bacterial small subunit ribosomal RNA
Source: RNAcentral